UAAAUACUCCCGUGAGACCGAUAGCGAACGAGUACCGUGAGGGAAAGGUGAAAAGUACCCCGGGAGGGGAGUGAAACAGUCUCUGAAACCGUGCGCCUACAAUCCGUCGGAGCCCUUUUGUGGGGUGACGGCGUGCCUAUCGAAAAAUGAGUCUGCGAGUCAGUGGCAUGUGGCGAGCAUAACCCGUGUGGGGUAUGCGUAGCGAAGGCGAGUCUUAAAAGGCGUUUGAGUCGCGUGUCCUGGACCCGAAGCGGGAUGAUCUAGCCCUGGGCAGGUUGAAGCGCGGGUAAGACCGCGUGGAGGACCGAACCCACCUGGGUUGAAAACCGGGGGGAUGACUUGGGGCUAGGGGUGAAAGGCCAAUCAAAUUCCGUGAUAGCUGGUUCUCUCCGAAAUGCAUUUGGGUGCAGCGUCGGGUCAUUACGUCCCGGGGGUAGAGCUACUGGAUGCUUGCGGGCCCGUAUCGGGUACCAACAGCAACCAAACUCCGAAUACCGGUGACGCGUAUCCCGGCAGUGAGUCGGCGGGGGAUAAGCUUCGUCGUCGAAAGGGAAACAGCCCAGACCGUCGUCUAAGGUCCCGAAGCGUGUGCUAAGUGGGAAAGGAUGUGGAGUCGCAUAGACAGCCAGGAGGUUGGCUCAGAAGCAGCCACCCUUGAAAGAGUGCGUAACAGCUCACUGGUCUAGUGGUUCCGCGCCGACAAUGUAGCGGGGCUCAAGCACACCACCGAAGACGCGGCAGUAUUUUGUACUGGGUAGGAGAGCGUCCCAUGAGGGGCGAAGCGGCCGUGUGAACGCGCCGUGGACUUCAUGGGAGUGAGAAUGCAGACAUGAGUAGCGAGAGACGGGUGAAGAUCCCGUCCGCUGGAUGACCAAGGGUUCCAGGGCCACGUUCAUCGUCCCUGGGUGAGUCGGGUCCUAAGGCGAGGCCGACAGGCGUAGUCGAAUGGAUGAACGGGUCGAUAUUCCCGUACCGGCUUUCAGCCGCCAAAACCGAGGCUUGGAGUACUAACCUCCGGGUCCGGGCUUACUGCUCCUUCGGGGGCGGGAUGCCCUGGCCUGUUGGGACCGAUCCUUGUAGUAGGUCAGCGCAGGAGUGACGCAGAAGGGUAGCCGGCCGCGGAGGUGGUCUUCCGUGGUCAAGCACGCAGGGCGUGGGACAGGCAAAUCCGUCCCGCAUGGGUCCGAGGUGCGAUGAUGGGGGCCUUAUGGCCCGAUAUCCGGUGAUCCCGGCUGCCGAGAAAAGCUUCGGCGUCAGGCUCAAAGCCGCCCGUACCCCAAACCGACACUGGUGGUCAGGUAGAGAAUACCAAAGCGAUCGAGCGAAUCCUGGUCAAGGAACUCGGCAAAUCACUCCCGUUCCUUCGGUUUAAGGGAGACCCCCGAUGGUGAACCGCCUCGCGCGGGGAGCUUUUGGGGGUGGCACAGACCAGGGGGUAGCGACUGUUUACCAAAAACACAGGUGCAUGCGAAGGCGCAAGCCGCUGUAUAUGCACUGACGCCUGCCCGGUGCCGGAAGGUUAAGAGGAUCCGUCAGCCUUCGGGUGAAGCGGUGAAUUCAAGCCCCGGUAAACGGCGGUGGUAACUAUAACCAUCCUAAGGUAGCGAAAUUCCUUGUCGGGUAAGUUCCGACCUGCACGAAUGGCGUAACGACUUCCCCACUGUCUCGACCAGGAGCUCGGCGAAAUUGCAGUACGAGUAAAGAUGCUCGUUAAGCGCAGAAGGACGAAAAGACCCCGGGACCUUUACUAUACCUUGGUAUUGGCAUUCGGUGUGGAUUGUGUAGCAUAGGCGGGAGGCCGAGAGGCGCGGUCGCCAGAUCGCGCGGAGCCGUAAGGUGAAAUACCGCUCUGUUCGCAUUGGAUGUCUAACCUCGAACAGUCAUCCUGUUCAGGGACAGUGCCUGGCGGGUAGUUUAACUGGGGCGGUUGCCUCCCAAAGAGUAACGGAGGCGCUCAAAGGUCCGCUCAGCCCGGUUGGCAAUCGGGUGGCGAGUGCAAGUGCACAAGCGGGCUUGACUGCGAGGACGACGGUCCGAGCAGGGACGAAAGUCGGGACUAGUGAUCCGGUGCCGG
This 2074-nucleotide ribosomal RNA is filed under the name human gut metagenome. RNAcentral's name for it is "bacterial LSU rRNA". It matches the Rfam family "Bacterial large subunit ribosomal RNA", at positions 467 to 2429 of the family's 2925-position model. The record is from RNAcentral.